This 253-nucleotide ribosomal RNA is filed under the name uncultured bacterium. RNAcentral's name for it is "partial 16S ribosomal RNA". It matches the Rfam family "Bacterial small subunit ribosomal RNA", at positions 524 to 776 of the family's 1533-position model. The record is from RNAcentral.
UACAGAGGGUGCGAGCGUUAAUCGGAAUUACUGGGCGUAAAGCGUGCGUAGACGGCUAUCUAAGUCGGGUGUGAAAGCCCCGGGCUCAACCUGGGAAUUGCAUUCGAGACUGAAUAGCUAGGGUACGGUAGAGGGAAGUGGAAUUUCCGGUGUAGCGGUGAAAUGCGUAGAUAUCAGGAGGAACACCGGUGGCGAAGGCGGGUCUCUGGGCAAUAACUGACGCUGAGGAGCGAAAGCGUGGGGAGCGAACAGG